UUGAGCAGCGACGCCCGUCCGUGCACGCCUCAUCAGUUGUUUGCCCGAGUGCAACUUUGCCUCGGCUGCGAGCAGGUUUCCUGUGUUGCGUACCUACAGAAAUGGAAUUGGUAUGUCCCAACCUUUGUACGUCCGUCUCGCGCUGUCCCUUCAGGGUGCGGCGUCGGGCGGACCACGAAGCGGUGCCCGCGUUCUAGGUCGCUCAUGCUAUGUGUUGUUGUCCUGGCCCGUGGACCGUCGCUUGGGCUCUCGGAUGCGGAAUACUUUGAGGGUCGGGUCGACUUGUUGACCUUUGGUUGCCCAGAAUAAUUUCGUUAAUGAAAGACUGCCGUCGUUCCGUAUAGGCGUUGGAUCCUUCGGAUUCCUCGUCCACUCGGGACGCCGGCGUCUAAGAGGAAUGCUA
This 403-nucleotide unclassified non-coding RNA is filed under the name Nauclea tenuiflora. Its description in RNAcentral is "partial external transcribed spacer". The record is from RNAcentral. Lineage: Eukaryota; Viridiplantae; Streptophyta; Magnoliopsida; Gentianales; Rubiaceae.